Suricata suricatta (meerkat) is the source of this 1144-nucleotide long non-coding RNA. RefSeq lists it as uncharacterized. NCBI's taxonomy places the organism in Eukaryota, Metazoa, Chordata, Mammalia, Carnivora, Herpestidae. The record is from RefSeq and is a predicted model, not a curated record. The transcript is spliced from 3 exons.
CUCACCGCGCUCCUCACUCCUCGCAAGGGGACGGCUGCCCCGCUGCCUCCACCCCGGCAGCGGACAUACCCCGGCAGCGCCCCGCGUACCUCACAGCCCACCGCACGCCGCCGCGCAGCCAACCACCACUUCCGGCGCGCUUCCAAAAACGAUUUGUGGAGACCAGGAGAGUCACCAGGCAGAAAACCGUUCUCCUUGGAGCAAGAGUCUGCAGGGACGGGAGCACCAGCUCUUGUGAAUCGCUGACUUUGCCAGAGGGAGAAACUCAGCCGAGGAUGGCAGCGCUGUACUGUCUGGGACUCCUGUCCUGGGAGCCCGAAGGGGCGAUGAGUGCCUUCGUGGGCACAGCUAAGGACUGACAGGUCGCCAGAGGAGUCCGAGCAUCCUAGGGUGUACUGAGCUGCACGCGAAGCCCCAGCGAGGAAGUCCUGAGCUGCCACUGGACCGUUAGCCAUUCCGUUUCUUUGGACCUGGGUUUCCUUAUAUGUGAAACGAAGGAUUUGAGUGGUCAUGAUAGUUGGUCCACUGCAUUCUAUCCAGGGACUGAAAUGCUUCUGCACAGACACUUUCUCAUCAGAUGGAACAACAUGAUCAAAUAACCCAUGAUAUACAACAGAAAGGCUGAAAAGACCUCAUGAUACAGCUGGUCAUGGAGACAACUGGACUAUCAGUCUCAAAGCGGUGAAGAUCUGGAUUCCUAGACUUCCUUAAUUCAUCAACCUCUCACAGGCAAGAAAAUGAUCAGAGAGGAGGAUGGAGAGACUGAACAUGCAAGCAGAGAAUGAUCAGACCACACGUAAACUGAGAACCUCUGACCCACACCUAUGUAGGAACCAGCCUGGAAUGGUCAGAGCUUGGUCAAUGACUGCCUGUUUUCUUAUUUUUAGCUCCUAUUUCCAAAUCAGGACCAACCAGAGAAAGCCAAGUAUGUUUCCAAAAUGAAUCACGUAGCCUACCUCCGGCUUCCCCAUGCCAACAACCUCCAAUCACAACAUGCCUGAAGCCUCUCUCCACCACCCGCUUUUCUACUCUAAAAUGCUUUCCCUUCUCUGUCUGCCUUUGUGUUUCUGUCAAGAGCUAGUGCUGGUGGUUGACUCCCUUACUACAUAGCAAGUUCAAAAUAAAUAACCGCUGCUUGUUCUCA